Molecule: long non-coding RNA, 377 nt
Filed under: Capsella rubella
Lineage: Eukaryota; Viridiplantae; Streptophyta; Magnoliopsida; Brassicales; Brassicaceae
Description: long non-coding RNA (CRUB_LNC004618)
Source: RNAcentral
GAGGGACCCUAAAUGGGUUGAUCUCUUCAGUUUACUAGUUGCUUUCUUGGCACCCAAACUUCCUCUUGCGCCUGGUGGAGGUGGUGGUGGAGCAGCAGGUCCUUUUCCGGCAGCCAUUGGAAGUGGUGGUGGUGGAGCAGCAGGUCGUUUUCCGGCAGCCAUUGGAAAUGGUGGUGGUGGAGCAGCAGGUCCUUUUCCUGCAGCCAUUGGAAGUGGUGGUGGUGGAGCAGCAGGUUCUUUUCCGGCAGCCAUUGGAAGUGGUGGUGGUGGAGCAGCAGGUCCUUUUCCUGCAGCCAUUGGAAGUGGUGGUGGUGGAGCAGCUCCUGGAGGGGGAAGAGACGGAGCAGCCAAUCCUUUACCUGCAGCCAUUGGAAGUG